CCACACCAUUCUGUUGUUGGGGUAAGUCCACACCAUUCUGUUGUUGGGGUAAGUCCACACCAUUCACACCAUUCUGUUGUUGGGGUAAGUCCACACCAUUCUGUUGUUGGGGUAAGUCCACACCAUUCUGUUGUUGGGGUAAGUCCACACCAUUCUGUUGUUGGGGUAAGUCCACACCAUUCUGUUGUUGGGGUAAGUCCACACCAUUCUGUUGUUGGGGUAAGUCCACACCAUUCUGUUUUUUUUACAUACUUUAAUUUUUAAAACUAGGAAAACUAUUUCACUCAUAUUGUCAUUAAUUAUAGGUCAUAUUUCAUUGAAAUGUGGAAACACUGGACAGUUACUCUAAAGGGACAGACUUAUUAUGCCAGGUUAUUACAUAUGUACUGUACCAUCAUGUGUCGGUGCUACGUACUUCCUAUAGUUCAAUAAGAAUCAAAUAACGUCAUUUUCCUGUGAGGCAAACUUCUUAUAUAAUAUUUACUGCACAUACAACAAUGGCACAGGAUGAACAAAUCAUUAAAAUAACAGUACAGUCAACAAAGAUGAGGAACUGCAUUAUAUUGAUUUAAGAUGACAUUGAAUAAGGGAACAUCAGUAUUGGAUGUUUAGAAACAGAAGACAAAAGGGAAUGGUUAAGGGGUUUUGCACUGAAUUGAUAUCUGAUGUUGUAAAGUUAUGAUAUGGGACUGUAUGUGUGUGGGUUCACUGUCGCCUUUACCGUGUCGAGCAUUUUAGAUCGUAACCUUUGAACAAAACAGAUUUAUUUUUGCUACCUUUGUGGUGUUGGUAAUGUGAGCAAUGUUUGGGCACCUCUGUGUGUAGAACGGACUGUGAGAUGUAAUGUAGGGCCCUGUUCCAAUACUUUAAAAAGCCUUUCUUAUUUCCUCACUUUCUUGAAGUAAUCGGGGAGAAAAGAUCUAUUUUGAAGUAUUGUAACGGUGUCGAAGUUAGUAUCAGCCUGCAUGGGGAAGUCUUGUACUGUAUCUCCGUCCAAAGGUCUGCUUGCUCUGCCAUUUUGGGCCAAACUCUCUGUUCCGCCAUUUUGGGGAAAUGUGCUCCUGCUGCAAUUUAGGGUCUUCCCUCAUGCUAGAUCUCCCUGGCACUUUUAAACAUAAUGUAGGCCGCUUGAAGUAGAACACCCGUCCGUGGUAAUGUUCACUUAUACUAAAAAUGUGCUAACUAUUUUAGGGGAAAAGGGUGUGACGGAUUUAUUUCUGUCAAGGUGUAACCAGUUACCAAAGGACAAAAAAAUGAAGUAUGAAAAGAAUAUUAAAUGUCAUUCGUAUCUAACAUCCAUUUGCAUCUUCUCUGGGGGUUUUAAGUAAAGUCAUAAUAGCAAUGAUUUGAUGAUGAAUAUAUAUUUUUUAAGGUUUCAUCUCUGAAAAAUGGUAUAUUUCACAGGGAAUUUAUGAAUGAACGUAAGUGUUUACGUUGCACCUUAAAAAGCAUUGUCCACACAGAACUAAGUUUGCUUUGUGUUUCAUUUGUUUUUGUGUUUUUACAAAUGCAUUCAAAUAACUUUUUUUACUUUUGAUUUUGUGCUCUUUGUACUUGUUGUCUGUGAGACACUUCUAUAAAUGAAUCUGUAUUUUGAUGGUGUCUGUUACCCGAAAGCAGAAAAACCAAUAGACAAGUGUUUCAUUUUUAUAUAUUUGAAGGGAAAAAAACUGGGUUGGGAUUGGUUAGGCCUCGGCCUAUUUAUUUUCCAAUUCAGAAGAAAUAACGUUCACAAUGUGUUGUAGCCAUUCCAGUAUUUAUUUUUCUUAUUGAGCCUCGGCGGUUCAGAAUGUAACUUUCUACAUGAAUAAACAUAAUAGGAGAAUAUUCAAAGUGAUCAGUAAUAAUGGUGCCAUAAAAUGAAACCAUGGUCAAUAGAAAAUGGAAAAUACACAAGGAUCAACGCUAAACAGUCCUGUAACGUCUGUGGACUGAUCAGGACAGCUACACAUUCAUGGUACCAAGCUAUGCAUGUUUUUUUUAAAGAACACUGCUAUGUAUUGUUUGGUUCAAAUCCUUGUUAACUGCCACCGUUUUGGGUGGGUAGAUGUCUGCAUGUGUGUGUGGCUUGCAUUUGAGUGUGUGUGUGUGUGUGCGUGCGUGCGUGCCUGUGUGUGCGCAUAUGUGUAUCUCCAGAGGAUGGUCUGUAGUAUGUACCAAGCCUUUCUCUGGGCCCCUAAAGCCGUAUGGUCAUAACUGUGGUUUCUCCUGGUAAAUGUUUGCUAAAACAGCAUCAUAGCCUUAUUUUUAACAAUCUAUUAAACUCAAUUUCAUGGGGAAUUCAUGACGGUUGAUUUAUUGAUUCA
This is a long non-coding RNA of Oncorhynchus tshawytscha (Chinook salmon), 2306 nucleotides long. NCBI's taxonomy places the organism in Eukaryota, Metazoa, Chordata, Actinopteri, Salmoniformes, Salmonidae. The record is from Ensembl.